UAAUCUGCUUGAGCUAGAUCCUUAUUUAGUUAUAAUAGACUCACACCUGACUAAUCAGAAUCACCCACUAUUAUAUGAACAAUAACCUUUUAAUAUUUUAAUUGGAUU
Molecule: non-coding RNA, 108 nt
Organism: Populus trichocarpa (black cottonwood)
Lineage: Eukaryota; Viridiplantae; Streptophyta; Magnoliopsida; Malpighiales; Salicaceae
Source: Rfam